AAUAAGUGUAGUUUUACACUGUUUAUUUCUAACGUUUGAUCGUUCGUCUUAUUUAAAAUUAUUUUAUGAUUAGUAUUUUUUUUAUUAGAUGAUAAAACAUGAAUAGUACUUUAUGUGUGACUAUUUUGUUUUAAUUUUUUCAUAAUGUUUUCAAAUAAGACACAGAUAGCCAUGGCUGCACUAACU
RNAcentral lists this microRNA precursor (186 nucleotides) under Oryza nivara. RNAcentral's name for it is "MIR812 microRNA precursor family". It matches the Rfam family "MIR812 microRNA precursor family". The record is from Rfam by way of RNAcentral. Lineage: Eukaryota; Viridiplantae; Streptophyta; Magnoliopsida; Poales; Poaceae.